UACGAAGGGGGCUAGCGUUGCUCGGAAUCACUGGGCGUAAAGCGCACGUAGGCGGACUCUUAAGUCGGUUGGUGAAAUCCUGGAGCUCAACUCCAGAACUGCCUCCGAUACUGGGAGUCUCGAGUCCGAGAGAGGUGAGUGGAACUGCGAGUGUAGAGGUGAAAUUCGUAGAUAUUCGCAAGAACACCAGUGGCGAAGGCGGCUCACUGGCCCGAUACUGACGCUGAGGCACGAAAGCGUGGGGAGCAAACAGG
Molecule: ribosomal RNA, 254 nt
Filed under: uncultured bacterium
Lineage: Bacteria
Description: partial 16S ribosomal RNA
Rfam family: Bacterial small subunit ribosomal RNA
Source: RNAcentral